This 253-nucleotide ribosomal RNA is filed under the name uncultured bacterium. RNAcentral's name for it is "partial 16S ribosomal RNA". It matches the Rfam family "Bacterial small subunit ribosomal RNA", at positions 524 to 776 of the family's 1533-position model. RNAcentral also lists the same sequence under 1 other name. The record is from RNAcentral.
UACAGGGGGGGCAAGCGUUGUUCGGAAUUACUGGGCGUAAAGGGUUCGUAGGUGGCCACUUAAGUCAGACGUGAAAUCCCUCAGCUUAACUGGGGAACUGCGUCUGAUACUGAGUGGCUUGAGUGCAGGAGAGGAAUGCGGAAUUCCAGGUGUAGCGGUGAAAUGCGUAGAUAUCUGGAGGAACACCGGUGGCGAAGGCGGCAUUCUGGACUGUAACUGACACUGAGGAACGAAAGCCAGGGGAGCAAACGGG